AUUGAACGCUGGCGGCAUGCUUUACACAUGCAAGUCGAACGGCAGCGCGGGCUUCGGCCUGGCGGCGAGUGGCGAACGGGUGAGUAAUACAUCGGAACGUGCCCAGUAGUGGGGGAUAGCUCGGCGAAAGCCGGAUUAAUACCGCAUACGACCUGAGGGUGAAAGCGGGGGAUCUUCGGACCUCGCGCUAUUGGAGCGGCCGAUGGCAGAUUAGCUAGUUGGUGGGGUAAAGGCCUACCAAGGCGACGAUCUGUAGCUGGUCUGAGAGGACGACCAGCCACACUGGGACUGAGACACGGCCCAGACUCCUACGGGAGGCAGCAGUGGGGAAUCUUGGACAAUGGGCGAAAGCCUGAUCCAGCAAUGCCGCGUGUGUGAUGAAGGCCUUCGGGUUGUAAAGCACUUUUGGCGGGAACGAAAAGGACUGUGCCAAUACCACGGCUCGAUGACGGUACCCGCAGAAUAAGCACCGGCUAACUACGUG
Molecule: ribosomal RNA, 484 nt
Filed under: uncultured bacterium
Lineage: Bacteria
Description: partial 16S ribosomal RNA
Rfam family: Bacterial small subunit ribosomal RNA
Source: RNAcentral